CAGUCGCCGCGGGAAUACGUAUGUCACAAGCGUUAUCCGGAUUGAUUGGGCGUAAAGCGCGUCUAGGUGGUUAUGUAAGUCUGAUGUGAAAAUGCAGGGCUCAACUCUGUAUUGCGUUGGAAACUGUGUAACUAGAGUACUGGAGAGGUAAGCGGAACUACAAGUGUAGAGGUGAAAUUCGUAGAUAUUUGUAGGAAUGCCGAUGGGGUAGCCAGCUUACUGGACAGAUACUGACGCUAAAGCGCGAAAGCGUGGGUAGCAAACAGGAUUAGAUACCCGGGUAGUCCCUGUCUCUUAUACC
This 301-nucleotide ribosomal RNA is filed under the name uncultured bacterium. Its description in RNAcentral is "partial 16S ribosomal RNA". It matches the Rfam family "Bacterial small subunit ribosomal RNA", at positions 509 to 808 of the family's 1533-position model. The record is from RNAcentral.